AGCAAGCGGUUCUCCUGAUCGGAUGAACAAGUGAUUAAUAGAGUUUUAGUUUUUAGAGAGAAAGAGUUUUAGAGACAAGUGUUCAUUUAAGUGAAGUAAAAAGUGAAAAGUACAGCAAAAAGACACAAAUUGAUUUCAACAUAUUGUACCCUGAGAAAAAAGCAAGGAAAAGGUUUUUUGGUUUUAUGAAGAGCAAAUACAAAACAAAGAGUGUCAUAAACUAUUAAAGACAGCUCAACUGUAUCAAUCGAUUCCAAGGACUACAUUUACUCUGUAUUGUCUGUACUGUCGGCCGUCAUUAAGGGAACCAACAAGCGAAAGAAUUUCUCACUACUGGACUCGCAGGAAAGUUUUGAACGCACAUGCAGGCGUACGAAUGUUGCAAACUUUACUAGCUGCCCUAUGCAUAUGUAUUAUAUAAAUUCUAAGAGUUACGUUAAGUACAAAUGUAUUUAAAACAAAAAUAAUGAUAACGUGUUAGCAUGGUAAAAAAAAAUAAUGUUAGCAGAACAAUUGUUUGGAUGAUAUGUUUAAGUUUAUUUUCAAUAAAAACACAUGGCUUGU
Drosophila subpulchrella is the source of this 564-nucleotide long non-coding RNA. RefSeq lists it as uncharacterized. The record is from RefSeq and is a predicted model, not a curated record. The transcript has 3 exons. NCBI's taxonomy places the organism in Eukaryota, Metazoa, Arthropoda, Insecta, Diptera, Drosophilidae.